AUUAUCGUGUUCAGACUCAAUUUUUGAAUAUUUCAUUAACACACAAGCGCCAGUUUCGAAACAGUCGCCGACGCCGCCAUAGCCGCCACCACCACCGUCGGCAACGCCACUUUUUUGGUGCACUCUUAGUUAUUUACCUAAUACAGUUACUGGAAACCGACAUUAAGGUUUUGAAUUUAAGACCACGAAGGAUAUUACAAUCAUUAAAAUGAAUAUGUUAUGAUGUUUAGAAGCCAACGCCAAUCCACCAGUAGAACAUAAAUUGUGUGCUCUAUAAGGGAUUACAUUUACGAUGGAGAAGAGAUAUUUAAAUUUAAAAUACACACAACGAUACGUGGUCCUUACUUACAUGAUCUUCCUAGAUUACCACAAUCUAUUUCAAAGAUGAGUCAAUAUACCUAUACAGGAGAUACAACUGAACCCUUCUUUAAAAAGGUAAAUAUUCAUCCACCUGUAGUAGAGGCAUAGAAGUAGAGGCUUAGAAGAAGGUAACGAACAUAACAUUUUAAAUUGAUUAAUGAAUGUAAACAGUUGUGGUAAGCAAUCUGCCUCAGCCUUUUUAAAUAAAAUAAAUGAAUAUAAAAGUCAAA
Long non-coding RNA from Eupeodes corollae, 590 nucleotides. RefSeq lists it as uncharacterized. Lineage: Eukaryota; Metazoa; Arthropoda; Insecta; Diptera; Syrphidae. The transcript has 3 exons. The record is from RefSeq and is a predicted model, not a curated record.